RNAcentral lists this ribosomal RNA (468 nucleotides) under uncultured bacterium. RNAcentral's name for it is "partial 16S ribosomal RNA". It matches the Rfam family "Bacterial small subunit ribosomal RNA", at positions 28 to 507 of the family's 1533-position model. The record is from RNAcentral.
GACGAACGCUGGCGGCGUGCUUAACACAUGCAAGUCGAACGGAAAGGCCCUGCUUUUGUGGGGUGCUCGAGUGGCGAACGGGUGAGUAACACGUGAGUAACCUGCCCUUGACUUUGGGAUAACUUCAGGAAACUGGGGCUAAUACCGGAUAGGAGCUCCUGCUGCAUGGUGGGGGUUGGAAAGUUUCGGCGGUUGGGGAUGGACUCGCGGCUUAUCAGCUUGUUGGUGGGGUAGUGGCUUACCAAGGCUUUGAAGGGUAGCCGGCCUGAGAGGGGGACCGGCCACAUUGGGACUGAGAUACGGCCCAGACUCCUACGGGACGCAGCAGUGGGGAAUAUUGCACAAUGGGCGGAAGCCUGAUGCAGCAACCCCGCGUGCGGGAUGACGGCCUUCGGGUUGUAAACCGCUUUCGCCUGUGACGAAGCGUGAGUGACGGUAAUGGGUAAAGAAGCACCGGCUAACUACGUG